AGGAUGACUAAGUUGCAGGAUGAUGAAAUUGAAGAGGAUGAGCUGUUAUGGAAUCAGGAUGCUCUUAAGAGGAAGAGAAUGAUGAUAAUUAUGUAGUGGAUGCAGAGGUUGUUGAACUCAACAGUCUAUCCCCCCUGAAAAUCAAGACGUCCCUGAUGAUGCAGAAGGUGAGAGAAAUGUCAGAAAAUCCACAAGAACUGCUGUGAUUGUUAGGCAAGCUGAGAGAGAUGCAAAACGUGCAGCAAUGCAAGCAAAAAUGAAGAGAUCAGGAACUUGAGGAACUUAGAACGUGUUUUCGCGAGGGAGGAAGAAGUUAAGAAAAGAGCAAUAGUGCAGAAAG
Molecule: long non-coding RNA, 340 nt
Organism: Pistacia vera
Lineage: Eukaryota; Viridiplantae; Streptophyta; Magnoliopsida; Sapindales; Anacardiaceae
Exons: 3
Source: RefSeq, a predicted model, not a curated record